UUUCCAGACUCCUACGGGAGGCAGCAGUGGGGGAUAUUGCACAAUGGGGGGAACCCUGAUGCAGCGACGCCGCGUGGGCGAUGGAGUACUUCGGUAUGUAAAGCCCUAUCAGCAGGGAAGAAAAUGACGGUACCUGACUAAGAAGCCCCGGCUAAAUACGUGCCAGCAGCCGCGGUAAUACGUAUGGGGCAAGCGUUAUCCGGAUUUACUGGGUGUAAAGGGAGCGUAGGCGGCCUGGCAAGCCUGAUGUGAAAUACCGGGGCCCAACCCCGGGGCUGCAUUGGGAACUGCCAGGCUGGAGUGCAGGAGAGGUAAGCGGAAUUCCUGGUGUAGCGGUGAAAUGCGUAGAUAUCAGGAGGAACACCGGCGGCGAAGGCGGCUUACUGGACUGUAACUGACGUUGAGGCUCGAAGGCGUGGGGAGCAAACAGGAUUAGAUACCCCCGUA
Molecule: ribosomal RNA, 447 nt
Filed under: uncultured bacterium
Lineage: Bacteria
Description: bacterial SSU rRNA
Rfam family: Bacterial small subunit ribosomal RNA
Source: RNAcentral